RNAcentral lists this ribosomal RNA (253 nucleotides) under uncultured bacterium. RNAcentral's name for it is "partial 16S ribosomal RNA". It matches the Rfam family "Bacterial small subunit ribosomal RNA", at positions 524 to 776 of the family's 1533-position model. The record is from RNAcentral.
UACGUAGGGGGCAAGCGUUGUCCGGAAUCAUUGGGCGUAAAGCGCGCGUAGGCGGUCAGGUAAGUCCGGUGUGAAAGUCAUAGGCUCAACCUAUGGAUGCCGCUGGAAACUGCCUGACUUGAGUCCGGGAGGGGCGAGUGGAAUUCCUGGUGUAGCGGUGAAAUGCGCAGAUAUCAGGAGGAACACCAAUGGCGAAGGCAGCUCGCUGGAACGGUACUGACGCUGAGGCGCGAAAGCGUGGGGAGCGAACAGG